GUGAAUUCCACAGCCCCCACCCCUGCCCUCAGCCUCCUUCAAAGUGGCCGCUGGGGCUGGGGUCUGUCUUUGCAGAGGUGCCAGGCCACAUGCCCUGCCCACCUCUACCAGCUAUGCCGCCUCUGAAGUUCCUCCAGCGGCACUGAGGAGGGGCCCUGUGGUCGAGGGUGCAGUUAAACGAGGCCCGACCGGGUAGUUGAGCUCAGCUUGGCUGUACUUGUCUUCCUUGGACCUGCUGGGCACCCCCAGAAUGCAAUACAGCAAUGAGAGUGGCCAGCCACUGCUACUACAUGCAGCCCCAUGGAGGACUCUCACAGAUACAACUCUGAACGAAAGAGGCCAGGCGUGAACAGCACAGGUGGAACUGAGGAGUCCCAACCCAGGGCAGGAAGGGCACAAGAACAUCGUCCUGUUUGUGGACUCACCUGGUAGUUACCCGGAUGUGUUCACUUUUGAUAAUUUAUUAAGGAAUAUUUUUAUGAUUGGUGCACUUUCCUGUAUGCAUGUUAUAUUUCAAAAACAAGUUUUCAUGAAAAAAAAAAAAAGCAAACAAAUACAAAUGCUGUCUGCUGUCCCCUCCUGUCCUCCCAUGCCCUUGCCCUGUGCAGGCCAGCACCGCCUCCCCCUGGAUGGCUGCCCUGGCCUUCCUCUCAUGUGCUCACCUCCCCAUACCUCCCACUCCCACUCCAAAUUAUAGUCGCCAGGCUUAGCAAUAAAAGUACACAAAUGCCAAAAAAGUUAUUCACUGUUUAUCUGAAAUUCACAUUUGACUGAGGGUCCUAUGUUUGACCUGACAACUCUAC
RNAcentral lists this long non-coding RNA (803 nucleotides) under Homo sapiens (human). RNAcentral describes it as "HSALNT0363877". Lineage: Eukaryota; Metazoa; Chordata; Mammalia; Primates; Hominidae. The record is from RNAcentral.